AGCUUUGCCCGGUGGCAGUAUUGUAGCCAAUGAGGUUUAUCCAAGGUGCGAUUAUUGCUAAUUGAAAACUGUUCCCAAUACCCUGCGAUGAUGACUUGCAAUAUAGUCGGCCCUGGCAAUUUUCGACAGUCUCUACAGAGA
Nycticebus coucang (slow loris) is the source of this 141-nucleotide small nuclear RNA. RefSeq annotates it as U4 spliceosomal RNA. Lineage: Eukaryota; Metazoa; Chordata; Mammalia; Primates; Lorisidae. The record is from RefSeq and is a predicted model, not a curated record. The transcript has a single exon.